Molecule: microRNA precursor, 208 nt
Organism: Oryza rufipogon (brownbeard rice)
Lineage: Eukaryota; Viridiplantae; Streptophyta; Magnoliopsida; Poales; Poaceae
Rfam family: MIR812 microRNA precursor family
Source: Rfam
AAAAAGACAAACCCUAGAUUUCCGUGUCCAACGUUUGACUGUUCAUUUUAUAUGAUUUUUUUUUAUAAUUAGUAUUUUUAUUGUUGUUAGAUGAUUAAAACAUGAUUAAUACUUUAUGCGUGACUUAUCUUUUUAAUUUUUUUCAUAAUUUUUUUAAAUAAAACGGACGGUUAAACGUUGAACAUAGAAACCCAGGGUUUGUCUUUUU